UAAGUUCAAAGAAGCCGUUUAAGCCACGCUUCGAAAAGUUCCUGUUGUAAAAUUAUGUUCGGUCAAUAAACUGGGAAUAGCAUCGGCGCAAGAAGAGAAAGUAAACUGGAAUGAAACUUUACAAAGGAAAUGAAAUGAAUCAGAAACGUAAAUAUAAAAACCUUUAACCAAGAAAUUUAAAAGCUUCCUACCAUGUUGAAAGUUCCUUAGGGCAAAAGAAAAUUUAAACUGGCAUCUAACGACAUGAAAUGUAUGAGGAAAGGAUAUGAAAUGAAUCGAAAGCAUUCAACCAAGAUAACUUUCCACCAAGUUUUAAGUUCCUUAGGACAAAUGAAAAAUUAAAUUGCCAUGUUAUUUUAUGAGGAAAGGAAAUAAAAUGAAUCAGAAACGUGAAUAUAAAAGUUAUAGGCAGAUGUUUAAAGAUCUGCCUAAAAGAUCUUCACUGGAGUAUUGCAACUCUACAAUAGCAUGCUCUGUGACUGAAGAUGCAGGAAAAAGAAAACGGACUGAAGAGUUUUAUGGAAUUGAUGAGUUUAAUGAAUUGUACAACCAUCAAAAAGGACCAUCGACCCGGACACUAUAGACCCCCAGUUGAAAAAGGAAGUCGAUAGAGGAUCUGUGUAUUACGGAAUCCACAUGUAUAUUAAAAAAAUUUACACUCUCAGACAGGUUAUGUAUCUCAACAAAUGCCAUUUUACAAAAAAAAAAAUAAUAUAAAAUUAAAAUAUUUGUCUUUUAGUACUAUCAUUUCGUCAAGGAUGGAUUUACAUUAAGUUAACUGAUAAUUUGUGGUCUGGUCACUUGUCGAGACAAUUCAAUCAAGACUUGAUCAAACUUUUUAUCAAAUGUAGUUGGGCUCGACGGAUUUGGAUAGCAAUACUUGUCAAGUCAAUAAAUACGGAAGACCCUGAAAAUAGUACACAUUGGUACUUUCCAAACUAGAGAGAGUAAACUUUUUAAAUGCACUUAUGAUUUUCAUAACCCACUAUGGACUUUCCUUCAUGUUAGUGGCCAACUAUGAAACAGAAUUCAAGAAUGGAUUAAUUUUGGGUCACUGGGUCAAUUUAAUGGUCACCCACAAAUGAUUAAAAUAUUUUACUCAAUAGUCUUCCCAGAUUUAGCACUAAGACCUAUAAAACUAAGCAAAAACAAAACACAAGUAAUGAAGGAAGACAUAAAAUUGGAAAGGAUACCACCCAUCCAUCAGGACAAAAGCCAUCUAUAGAUUUAAUAAUAUUUACAAUUGUAUUUUUAAUUAUAGGCUACAAAAUAAAUAACAAAGAAAAGUUUUUGAACUUCAGCAUGGACUACCCAUAUUGGUCUGAAAAUGUAUAAUAUUUAUAUUCCAUAUUGAGUUAUGAAACAUCUUGCUUGCUUUGUAUAAAACAUUUACUAACCUGCUUAACUUUUCAAAUGUUUUCAGACAUUUUUUCCUUUGCGGGUAAUACAAUGGAAUUGGAUUAUCUUUUUUUGAAAGAACUUUUGAGCAUCUUUUGUUACUAUAAACUUAUAAACUCGUUAGUAUAAUUUGUAAUCACACGUUGAACGCAGAGCCGUAGAUUCUGCACAAUUUAUAUAUACGAACUUUGGGAAUUUAUCGAUUUACAUGUUGUAUUCUUAAUCACAACAGAGUAUAGAGAUUGUAAUAUGCGCCGCCGUCGCUACCGCGCAGAUUAAAAAUUAAUUAAUUAAUGAAAUCUUUUGAUAUUUUGUUAUUAAAAUUGUUUAGUGACAUUUUAAAAAGUUACCUCUCGUUGAAGUGUAGUUUCUGUUCAACGAGUUAGGGAGAAGGAGGCAGAUAUAAUGAAACGAGAUUUAUUUGUCGUAUGUUCCUUCCUGUAUAUUACAAUGUAUACCGCAAGAUACAUAGCUUAUGUCAAUUGUUAUCGGAACAACUACGAGGAUAGUCGGGGAACUUUUCUAGGUAUUUCUUCGUCAUCCCCUGGGAUACUGAUUGUCCUGGAGACAUUUGAAACUGAGGAAAACCAAGGACCACGUGUUUGUGCAUAAAACUUUAGUGUCUAAGAGUCGUGGUUUCUUCGAAGGCACCCCAUCUGAAAAUCUUCUGGCGCCCUAAAUUAAGAAUAUGGAGGGAUUCAACGUAAUAUAAUUUUAGGUGACGAUGGCAAAGAUAUAUCUGUUAAACUGGAGGUUUUUAAAAAGGAAUUCUAGAAGGGAUGCCAUAAAGCUGUUUUGGUGAAUUAUUGAAGUCAUGGACGAUGGAACAAAGGAGGUUCCCAGAAUGUUUCAAUUUCCUCAUGACGUAUGAAUGAUCAAAGAGAAUCUGAUAUGAAAGAAGUAAAACCAAAGCCAGAAGUCUGUUGGUGGUAAAUCUAGCGGGUAUGGCGGAUGUUAUAAAAGAAAAAGGCCCUUUUUGGACAAAAAUUUCAUCACUAUUCUAGACUUGUGAGCCGACGCGUUGCUAUGUAUUAUGACAAGCUGUGUCGAAAUAAAAGGGUUCAGUAUCGAUUUUCUACAGCCAUUGUCGCAAGAUUUUGGAUGAAGUCCAUUCUAUACAUUACUUAAUUAAAGAAAUAUACAGCCAGUGUUAACUUCAUUCACAUAAGAUUGGUGUAGUGGUGGUAUAAUUGUACUGCGGUGGUAGCGAUAAUUUCUAAAUGAAGUGUUCGCAAUAGACGGUAUGGUUUUAUAUAGGCAUGUACCAAAGGUAGGAGUAAGAAAUCACGUUUUUGAUGUUGAAUAUAAUUACUGUUUAUUUCUGCAUUCUAUUUUAAAACAGCCACACACUGAAUAAAAACAAAAUUUUAGGUUAUAAUGUAAUUAUAUAUCAUUAGCAUGUAAGGAUACAGUGCCUAACGCGCUUGUGCGAAAUAUAACAGUUGCAUUGGACGUUGGAAGACCUUAAUAGCCUAAAAGUUAAAAGCUAGCUAGAUUCUUCACUACCAAUACCACAACGAUCUGUACGAAGUUGAUCUUGAACACUCCAGUGAAAAAUCACGAGUCUAACUUUCUGCACUACACACACGAAUACACUUCUGCUGCAUCAACAUAUAUGUGAAUGAGGCAAAUUAGGCACUUCAAUUUAAAAAUUAAAAUAAUAAGUAAUCAUGCAUGUUAUUUAAAAUAGGUAAUAUUUUAAGCAACAAGUAUAAAUUACGAUUUAUGUUAUUUAAAUUAUAUUAAAAUUUAGAUAUUAUUGAGUACGUUAUAGGUAUUUUUUGUUGUCAAAAAUAAGGUUUAUAACCUGUUUCUCCACAAACAUUGGGGUUGUUUAUUUGACAAUUAUUUCAAGCAUCCAUUAAAAACGUCAUGGUUUUUUGGCUGUGUUAUUUCUUAAACCAUCUUUCUAAAUUGACCAUUGAUACUAAUAUACUGUGACUAUAGGGUAUUACCAGUCUUUCAUCUUUUCCUAAACGGAAAAUAACUUGAUUUAUUUGAACUGCUAGUCAUGCAUUUCUUUCAACUUUUCGUUCUCCUUGUCCCUGACAAUAUUCGUUAUUUUUUCAAAAUAAUACGACAAUUCUGUGUAUAUCGGUAAAUGAAUUUAUAAACUUAAAGCUUACAAUUUGCACUUCGG
This is a long non-coding RNA of Aethina tumida (small hive beetle), 3538 nucleotides long. RefSeq lists it as uncharacterized. The record is from RefSeq and is a predicted model, not a curated record. NCBI's taxonomy places the organism in Eukaryota, Metazoa, Arthropoda, Insecta, Coleoptera, Nitidulidae. The transcript is spliced from 10 exons.